RNAcentral lists this ribosomal RNA (254 nucleotides) under uncultured bacterium. RNAcentral describes it as "partial 16S ribosomal RNA". It matches the Rfam family "Bacterial small subunit ribosomal RNA", at positions 524 to 776 of the family's 1533-position model. The record is from RNAcentral.
UACGGGGGGAGCAAGCGUUGUUCGGAUUUACUGGGCGUAAAGGGCGCGUAGGCGGCCACCGCAAGUCGACUGUGAAAUCUCCGGGCUUAACCCGGAAAGGUCAGCCGAUACUGCGGGGCUAGAGUGCAGAAGGGGCAACUGGAAUUCUCGGUGUAGCGGUGAAAUGCGUAGAUAUCAGGAGGAACACCAAUAGCGAAGGCAGCUCGCUGGGACGUUACUGACACUGAGGCGCGAAAGCGUGGGGAGCGAACAGG